AAUUAUUAAAUCCCACGUUCAAAAAAAUAUCCCAAAUAACCACAACCAACGCCCGAUUAUACUCCCACGUUAUGCAGUAUAAAUGUCCAUACCUUAACCCCCUCCUCCUUAUACAAAUUCUGCUCUCAAAUUCACUUUGAAUCACAAAAUUCUCUCGAGGCAGCGGAAGAAGCAGCAGAAAAGAGUUAUCAUUCUUCCUAAUCCCCCACGAAACCGGGAAUCAAAUUCAGAGAAGAGGGAACAGAAACCACAAUCUCCUUUGCUCAAACUAAUCAAGAUCCAAUGGACAAUCGGUGAAUGUAUGAAAUAGAGAGAGCGAGAGAGAGGCACGAGCAGCAGCGGCGAUGCGACGUCGACUGCACCGUGACAGCAGCGGCGAGCGGACUGCGCAGCCCACGACGGCGGUGGAGAAAGCAAGACAACGCUGUGCAAUUGAAACGGAAAAGAUUGAGAGUUUACGGUCGCGACGAUGGCUGCACGGCGGACAGCGGCUGUCUCUGGUGCAGAAUUGGGGGGUAAGAACGGCAACCGGAAUUGCACCCACGCGAAUUGAACUACGCGGAGAUAGUAUGAAAGAAGAGGCAGGGGAAUUUUGCAUUAAUUCUGAAUAUGGAUUGUUACAACUGAAAGACAUCAGCUUUUAUAGCUGUGAAUUACAAUAUAACAGACUCGAUCUCAGAUCUAACAAACUAAGGACUAAGACGCGUGAUGAUUUGAUCCAUGCUUUCCCCGCGUAUGCAUGCAUCCAUGCCUACGUGUUUAUUUAAUAUCCACCUAAUCGUUUAUUCUUCACCCCUCACUACGUUUCAUGCACCAGUCUCGAUCUGGAGCAGCAGCGGCUUAUUAACCACGGCGACGGCGGAAUUUCAGCGGCAGCGGCUGAGCAACGACUGCCCGUCCCCCUCGCUGCGUCGGCGUUUUUCCGCGAAGGAGACGACGGCGGUGGCUGAUUCUGGAGAUGGAAAUCGAGGUGCAGGGAACUCGACUGUGGCAGCGGCAGUCGCCAUCUCCGGCGAGUUGAGGAUGGCGACGGAAUUGAGGGUUUGCGAUUUGGGAGAAUUAGUGAAGAAGAGAAUGAGAGAGAGAGAGGGAGUGCCCGAUGGUGGAGAAAGGGAGAUGGAUGGGUGACUUCACGCACGUUUUUUGAGAACGAAAUGGAGCACAAGUAAAGACUUUAAACUAACGAGGUUGAGCGGUGACGAGCGCGGUGGGUGUUGAACAUGAAAGU
Salvia splendens (bonfire salvia) is the source of this 1228-nucleotide long non-coding RNA. RefSeq lists it as uncharacterized. Lineage: Eukaryota; Viridiplantae; Streptophyta; Magnoliopsida; Lamiales; Lamiaceae. The transcript is spliced from 3 exons. The record is from RefSeq and is a predicted model, not a curated record.